This 389-nucleotide ribosomal RNA is filed under the name Pyramimonadales sp. RNAcentral describes it as "partial small subunit ribosomal RNA". It matches the Rfam family "Eukaryotic small subunit ribosomal RNA", at positions 582 to 975 of the family's 1831-position model. Lineage: Eukaryota; Viridiplantae; Chlorophyta; Pyramimonadophyceae; Pyramimonadales. The record is from RNAcentral.
AUUCCAGCUCCAAUAGCGUAUAUUUAAGUUGUUGCAGUUAAAAAGCUCGCAGUUGGAUUUCGGGUGAGGAUGACCGGUCUGCCGUUGCGGUACGCACUGGACGUUUUCAUCUUGUUGUCGGGGACGCGCUUCUGGGCUUCACUGUUCGGGACGCGGAGUCGGCGCUGUUACUUUGAAAAAAUUAGAGUGUUCAAAGCAGGCAAUCGCUCUGAAUACAUUAGCAUGGAAUAACGCUAUAGGACUCUGGUCCUAUUGUGUUGGUCUUCGGGACCGGAGUAAUGAUUAAGAGGGACAGUUGGGGGCAUUCGUAUUUCAUUGUCAGAGGUGAAAUUCUUGGAUUUAUGAAAGACGAACUUCUGCGAAAGCAUUUGCCAAGGAUGUUUUCAUCG